This 91-nucleotide microRNA precursor is filed under the name Choloepus hoffmanni (Hoffmann's two-fingered sloth). RNAcentral describes it as "miRNA (ENSCHOG00000014642.1)". Lineage: Eukaryota; Metazoa; Chordata; Mammalia; Pilosa; Megalonychidae. The record is from RNAcentral.
GGUACCUGUUAGAAAUGCAGACUUUCAGGCCUCACCUCGAAUCUGCUGAAGCAGAAUCUCUGAUGGUAGGGUCCAGGAAUCUGCAUUUUAA